This 763-nucleotide ribosomal RNA is filed under the name uncultured Streptococcus sp. RNAcentral describes it as "bacterial SSU rRNA". It matches the Rfam family "Bacterial small subunit ribosomal RNA", at positions 28 to 776 of the family's 1533-position model. The record is from RNAcentral. Lineage: Bacteria; Bacillati; Bacillota; Bacilli; Lactobacillales; Streptococcaceae.
GACGAACGCGGGCGGCGUGCGUAAUACAUGCAAGUAGAACGCUGAAGGAGGAGCUUGCUUCUCCGGAUGAGUUGCGAACGGGUGAGUAACGCGUAGGUAACCUGCCUGGUAGCGGGGGAUAACUAUUGGAAACGAUAGCUAAUACCGCAUAAGAGUAGAUGUUGCAUGACAUUUGCUUAAAAGGUGCAAUUGCAUCACUACCAGAUGGACCUGCGUUGUAUUAGCUAGUUGGUGGGGUAACGGCUCACCAAGGCGACGAUACAUAGCCGACCUGAGAGGGUGAUCGGCCACACUGGGACUGAGACACGGCCCAGACUCCUACGGGAGGCAGCAGUAGGGAAUCUUCGGCAAUGGACGGAAGUCUGACCGAGCAACGCCGCGUGAGUGAAGAAGGUUUUCGGAUCGUAAAGCUCUGUUGUAAGAGAAGAACGAGUGUGAGAGUGGAAAGUUCACACUGUGACGGUAUCUUACCAGAAAGGGACGGCUAACUACGUGCCAGCAGCCGCGGUAAUACGUAGGUCCCGAGCGUUGUCCGGAUUUAUUGGGCGUAAAGCGAGCGCAGGCGGUUAGAUAAGUCUGAAGUUAAAGGCUGUGGCUUAACCAUAGUACGCUUUGGAAACUGUUUAACUUGAGUGCAAGAGGGGAGAGUGGAAUUCCAUGUGUAGCGGUGAAAUGCGUAGAUAUAUGGAGGAACACCGGUGGCGAAAGCGGCUCUCUGGCUUGUAACUGACGCUGAGGCUCGAAAGCGUGGGGAGCAAACAGG